RNAcentral lists this ribosomal RNA (169 nucleotides) under Artocarpus heterophyllus (jackfruit). RNAcentral describes it as "5.8S ribosomal RNA". It matches the Rfam family "5.8S ribosomal RNA". From Rfam's summary of the family: 5.8S ribosomal RNA (5.8S rRNA) is a component of the large subunit of the eukaryotic ribosome. It is transcribed by RNA polymerase I as part of the 45S precursor that also contains 18S and 28S rRNA. Functionally, it is thought that 5.8S rRNA may be involved in ribosome translocation. The record is from RNAcentral. Lineage: Eukaryota; Viridiplantae; Streptophyta; Magnoliopsida; Rosales; Moraceae.
UAAAAACGACUCUCGGCAACGGAUAUCUCGGCUCUCGCAUCGAUGAAGAACGCAGCGAAAUGCGAUACUUGGUGUGAAUUGCAGAAUCCCGUGAACCAUCGAGUCUUUGAACGCAAGUUGCGCCCGAAGCCAUCCGGUCGAGGGCACGUCUGCCUGGGCGUCACACACC